GUGGCGCACGGGUGCGUAACACGUAUGCAAUCUACCUUUAAUAGGAGAAUAGCUUCGAGAAAUCGGAAUUAAUACUCCAUAACAUAAUUGAAUGGCAUCAUUCGAUUAUCAAACCUCCGGGGAUUAAAGAUGAGCAUGCGCAACAUUAGCUAGUUGGUAAGGUAAUAGCUUACCAAGGCUACGAUGUUUAGGGGGUUUGAGAGGAUGAUCCCCCACACUGGUACUGAGACACGGACCAGACUCCUACGGGAGGCAGCAGUAGGGAAUAUUGGGCAAUGGAGGAAACUCUGACCCAGCCAUGCCGCGUGCAGGAUGACGGCCCUCUGGGUUGUAAACUGCUUUUAUACGGGAAGAAAAAAUAGUACGUGUAUAUACUGACGGUACCGUAAGAAUAAGGAUCGGCUAACUCCGUGCCAGCAGCCGCGGUAAUACGGAGGAUCCAAGCGUUGUCCGGAUUUAUUGGGUUUAAAGGGUGCGUAGGCGGAUUUUUAAGUCAGUGGUGAAAGCCUGCAGCUCAACUGUAGAAUUGCCAUUGAAACUGAAAAUCUUGAAUUUGGUUAAAAUAGGCGGAAUGUAUCAUGUAGCGGUGAAAUGCUUAGAUAUGAUACAGAACACCGAUAGCGAAGGCAGCUUGCUGAACCAAUAUUGACGCUGAGGCACGAAAGCGUGGGGAGCAAACAGGAUUAGAUACCCUGGUAGUCCACGCCCUAAACGUUGAUUACUCGUUGUUGGCGAUAUACUGUCAGCGACCAAGCUAAAGCGUUAAGUAAUCCACCUGGGAAGUACGACCGCAAGUUGAAA
Molecule: ribosomal RNA, 801 nt
Filed under: uncultured bacterium
Lineage: Bacteria
Description: bacterial SSU rRNA
Rfam family: Bacterial small subunit ribosomal RNA
Source: RNAcentral